GAAUAGGGUAUAGCCAGAGAUGGUCUAGAGAUUACAAGAUGCAUAGAUUGUGAAAGUGGAAAGAGGAGAUUGAGAUGUGAGACUGAAGUCAGAUUUAAGGCAAGUAUCCUAUACCCUUCUUUUGGAUAUCUUGCGAUUAUUCUGAUCCAUUCUUUUCGUAUGUGUUGCAAAUAUUCGUUCCUUUCUUUUUCAUAUUUGGCAAGUGCAAAUAUUUUUAUCCAUCCUUUUCUAAUCCUCAAAAAUUCAGAUAAUUCCAGUUUUACAAAUUAAUUCGAAGUUC
Molecule: long non-coding RNA, 280 nt
Filed under: Daucus carota (carrot)
Lineage: Eukaryota; Viridiplantae; Streptophyta; Magnoliopsida; Apiales; Apiaceae
Description: long non-coding RNA (DCAR_LNC000131)
Source: RNAcentral